AAUACAAUUUGCAUACUUUUUAAACCGGAGUUUCUUUUUGUAUCAGCUCAAUCUGACUGUGUUUGGGCUUCUCAGUCAGAGGAAGUGGUGAAUGGGUUUCCUGCCCCUCCUCCAGAAACAUACACACACACACACACGGUGAGAUGUGUGUGUGCAGAGAGAGCGAGCGAGCGAGUGAGAGAGCGACGGGGAAACCAGAGAGCCGAGCGAAAGAAGGUUAGCCAGCCAGCGGCGAGUGAAGAAAAUGGCGAUCACGCAGGAUGAAUGCCUCCCCUCGUAGAUGCUGCAAACGCGUUGAAUUUCUUUAGCCUUACAGUCGGCUUUCCUUUCCACUCUGUUGCACUUUAUACUUCAAUGAGAUUCGGAAUUGGAAGCUGUUGCCACCAAAGAAACUGAAGCAUCUUAACAGAAAGAAAAGGAAGAGUAUGAACAGUUGAUACUUUUGAGGCACCGGUGGGGAUUACAUCCCUCAAGGAAAGAACAAAGACUGUGACGCACUUUCACUUUAAAGCCCCUUAGUUAUGUAUGAGCAUAACUUGACUGAGAGAGUUUGUAUACACAGACAUCCCAUACAAGUCUGGGAUAUUUAUAAGUCCA
Molecule: long non-coding RNA, 597 nt
Organism: Oreochromis aureus
Lineage: Eukaryota; Metazoa; Chordata; Actinopteri; Cichliformes; Cichlidae
Source: Ensembl